Molecule: ribosomal RNA, 4566 nt
Filed under: Triticum aestivum (bread wheat)
Lineage: Eukaryota; Viridiplantae; Streptophyta; Magnoliopsida; Poales; Poaceae
Description: partial small subunit ribosomal RNA
Source: RNAcentral
AUGGAGGACCUCGCCACCGCACCGCCGCCGCGCCACCGGGCGCGGAGGCACCGGAGGAAGGCGUCGGACUCGGCCACGUACGGGGACGUGUUCGGCGGGGGCCCGCGGUUCGCGCCCCCUCUCGCAGGGGCUCCGGCGGACUACGCUGACGUGUUCGGCGGCGUCGCGGCCUCCUGCUCCAUCCCGUACCUCGACCUGCCCCCGGCGGCCGCCGGGAGCGACGGCGGCGCGGGGAGGUACGGCGAGAUCUUCACGCGGGCCGGCUUCGGGGAGUACGCGGCGCCGUGCGAGGACAUGUUCGCGGAGCCGGAGGGAAUGCCGGAGGAGAUCGAGUCCUGGAGCGGGAGCUCGAGAUCAUCAAUCAGAAAAGAAUCUGCUGAAAUGGAUGCUGAGCCAUCUCUACUCUAUCAACACUAUCCAAAUGUGGUCUAUGACCAACAGUUUGAUGAGGAACAGUUUUCUCCAAUCUCCUUUCCUCCAGAUGGUGAACAACAGUUCAACAUGUCAUAUAAUAAGGCAACCAGGGGAAGGCUAGAUGAUCUAGUUGAAAUGACUACUUGCAUGGUGGAGCCUUCAAUAAGUUACGUGGUUGACUCUUGCAAUUUGUCAAAUGAUUCAGCAACGAAUCAUGUUCCAGUAAUGGACAAUGGUGCACUUGCUAAUGGUGAAGAUAAGGAGAUGAGCCCACCACCACUCCCUGCAAGUGGUGAUUCUGUAGCUGAUGAGAAGCAGCAUAUUUCUCCCUGCCUUCCCAUUUAUGAAAAUCAUUAUGAAGAUAAAAAGGAUGACAGGAGGUCUAGCAUUCAUUCAGCAUCAAGUGAGGAAAACAAUGGUGCAACUGCUAAUGAUGAAAAUAAGGAGACUAGCCCACCACAACUCCCUGUAAAUGGUAAUCCUGUAACGGAUGAGAAGCAACAUAUCUCAACCUGUCUUCUCAAUUCUGAAAAUCUCUAUGAAGAUGAAAAGGACCACAAGAGAUCUAGCGCUCAUUCAGCAUCAAGUGAGGAAGUACCUUCCCCAGACUAUCCAUUCUUAAGGAUGUCCAACACCCACAUUCAAACACAGCCCAUCAAUGUACAACCACCAUCAAUCCUACCAUCUAAUUUUCUUAAUAAGAAGGAAAGUAAAUCUAACAGAGAUUCUGAGGGCAAUCCUAACUCUGCUGCUGCUGAUGCUAUAAAGGAAGCAACGGAUGUGAAGCAAAAUAUCUCAACUUGUCUUCUCAAUUCUGAAAAUCUCUAUGAAGAUGAAAAGGACCACAAGAGAUCUAGCACUCAUUCAGCAUCAAGUGAGGAAGUGCCUUCCCCCGACUAUCCAUUCUUAAGGGUGUCCAACACCCAUAUUCAAACACCGCCCAUCAAAGUACAGCCACCAUCAAUCCUACCAUCUAAUUUUCUUAAUAACAAGGAAAGUAAAUCUGACAGAGAUUCUGAGGUCAAUCCUAACUCUGCUGCUGCUGCUGCUAUAAAGGAAGCAAUGAAUUUUGCUGAAGCAAGGUUAAAAGCUGCAAAAGAACUGAUGGAGAGAAAAGGGGACAGUUUUAAACUUCGGAAGAGGCCAGGUCAUCAUAGAGGCACAAAAUCGACAGAAAUCAAGGAAGAUAAGAGUCCUGAAGAGGUGAAUAUAUUUGAAGAGAAGCUGACCUCAAGAAAGUUAGCAGAAGAGGAAAACUAUGAGAAUCUAAGUUUCCUGGAUAAACACAGAGGCAGUAGUGCAGUUAAGAUAGCAGACUGUUAUCAAGACGGAAAAGGGGUUCUAUCUCCAGGGAAGCCUCAGCAGAUAAUACAAAGUGACAGUAAAGUUGAUCAACUAGGCAAGUGGGCAUCAGAUGCUGAAUUCUACGAUCUGGUUAGCCAUCAUCGGAAAUCUACAACUAGCACAGCUGCAUGUGAAGGUGAUAAUGGUCUGACGACAAAUCCCUUCACUAAGCAUGGCCAUUCUGAGAAAGUAAAAGAAGGGGUUAAUGCAGGGGAUUUGGAAAGAGAUGGGAAAUUGUCGGGUUGUAAUGAAAUAACAGAGCUGGGAACGAUACAUGUAAAUCUUACAGCAGAUGAUGCAGCUGCUCUAGGGGUUGAACAUGAGGCUCCUACAGCUCCUGAAGGUUCACUAUGGGAGGAAAGGGUGGAAUACCAAGAAACAAACGAUUCUCAUAUCAAAGAACAUGUAGGGCAAAGCAAUUCUCCAAAAGGUCAUGAUGAUGAUGGGAUAUUUGAGGCUUCAUGUAUGAAUGGCAUACCUCCAAAGCUGCAUGUUGUUCCAGAUACAUCCAGUUUGUCUUUGAAGGUUUGUAUACCGGUAGGCCAUGCCAAUGGUAACCAAAAUUGUUCUGAUGCUAGUACUGAAGAAACUCCACCAGUAGGAAAAUAUGACAAAGAAAACAACAAUAAAGAGGGACUUGAGAUUCCAUGUGCUGAUGAGACACUUUGCACUUCCGUAAGGAAUCAAAUAUCAGAUGAACAUCUGGAAAUUCCUAUCAUUGAUGAAAUUGAGACGAGUCAAGCGAAAGUAGCCACAUUAGAAGAGCCUGCAGAAUAUUACGAAGACCAAUGGUCCCCGAAGAUGUCAAAUACAGUUCACAGGGAGGCUAAAACUUAUGAGGAAGACAAGAUGUUCAGUUUUGUUGAUGAAGCAUGCCUGCAAAGUGAACAAGAAAAAAUAACCGAACUACCUUCAGAAACGCUCAUCCAUAAAGAAAUGGAGAGAUUUGGAAUUGAGGAGAAAGAAAGCCUGCAUGAAGAUUCCCAAGAUGAAGAUGUAUACUGGGAUGCGGGAUCUCCUGAAAAGGAAACUAGUGUUACUUCUGAUACCGAUGCUAAUGAAAAUGACGAAGCAGAGGUGCUGAAUGUAUUUGUGGCAGACAGUGACUUGAUGGAAAACAAUGUUAGAACAUGUGCUACUUCUGCCAAACACUCAGAUCAACUCCCAGAAUCUCAGGAGUCAUUAUUGGAACCUCAAGAGUUGGCAAACAAUAUGGAUGUAAUUGAGGAUUUUGUAUCCCAUGGUAACGGAAAAGAAGCAAAAAAUACCUUGUUAGGGAACAGUGAGACGGCACUGGUGGAAAAAACGUUAAACCAUGAUACGGAAGGCCAGACAUCCACGGAAACUGGUGCCACCAGAGGACUAAAUGAUGUAUAUGCAGAAAUAAUUGCAAAGAAUAAUAGGGCGGGUAAUGUACUUCAUUCUGGAGCUGAAGUUAUCACCGAUGAUUACAGUGAUUAUACUACAUGUUCUAAAGAUAUGCAUGCUUCAUUCUCAGAAGCAUGCGCUAGCAUGCAUCACUUGCCUCAGAAUGUUGAAUCUAUUUCUGCUCUGACGUCUGAUGAAAGCAUAUCUUUCCUUGUAAAUCUUGAAGAGAACUGCAUAAAAGCAGAUAGUGGAUAUUCGACAAUAAGAGACACAGCGUUACAAGGGAAAAAGGCAGGCGGCAAAAUUGAAGAAGGAGAUGGCAAAGACAAAAUAUCGAGUGUAAAUUUGAAGGAUCAGCAAUCUUUUGGAGAGGAUAGUGCAUCAAAGUUUGUUCAGAAAUCAAGAAAAGAGACCUCUGAUGCCCAGAGAAUUGAAGGGAGAGAUGAUAUAAGAAAGGCAGAAGGUGAAAUUGAAAAGGAUGUCUCCCUAAGACCAGAUAAAGAUAAAGAAAGGGAAUACAAAUUGGAAAAAGAACAAAGUAAGGAGAAACCAAUUAGAGAACUAGAAGAAGAGAAGGAGAGGGAGAGGGAGCGGGCAAAAGAUAGGCUUGCUGUUCAGAGGGCUACCAGAGAAGCUCAUGAGAGGGCAUUUGCUGAGGCUCGUACAAAGGCUGAAAGAAUAGCAUUAGAAAGGAUUACCUCUUCACGACAAAGGGCGUCUGCAGAAGCACGAGUUAAAGAGAAGGCAAGUGAUGAAGCAGUUGCAGAGAAGGCUUCUAGAGAAGCUAGAAUGAAAGUGGAACGUGCAGCAGUCGAGAGAGCAACUGCAGAAGCUCGAGAGAGGGCAAUUGAAAAGGCAAAGGCUGCUGCAGAUGCUAAGGAGCGAAUAGAAAAGGCCAGAGUCCCAUUCAAAGAUAGUUUUAAGGUUACUAAUCAGGACAAUCAAUUUCAGAAGACAGCUUCUAACGAUCAUGGAAGAAGCACAGAUUCUUGUAAUCAAGCAUCUGAGUUUGAAUCAGCUCUAAGACACAAAGCAAGAUCGGAGAGGCACCAACGGACAGCUGAACGAGCGGAAAAAGCUCUAGCCGAAAAGAAUAUGCGGGACAUGCUGGCUCAGAGGGAGCAAACAGAAAAACACAGAUUGGCUGAAUUCCUUGAUCCUGAAAUCAAGAGAUGGUCAAAUGGAAAGGAAGGAAAUCUGCGAGCAUUGCUCUCUACGUUGCAAUAUAUACUUGGUUCAGACAGUGGCUGGCAGUCAGUUCCCCUCACAGAUCUUAUUACGGCUGCUGCCGUGAAGAAAGCAUACAGGAAGGCAACCCUUUGUGUCCAUCCUGAUAAAUUACAACAAAGGGGUGCUACAAUCAGACAAAAGUACAUCUGUGAGAAGGUGUUUGAUCUUCUUAAGGAAGCUUGGAACAAGUUCAAUUCUGCAGAGCGCUAA